RNAcentral lists this non-coding RNA (32 nucleotides) under Mus musculus (house mouse). The record is from RNAcentral. Lineage: Eukaryota; Metazoa; Chordata; Mammalia; Rodentia; Muridae.
UAGCAUGGAGACCACGGAUGGAUGGAUGCAUU